This 350-nucleotide ribosomal RNA is filed under the name uncultured bacterium. RNAcentral's name for it is "bacterial SSU rRNA". The stretch from base 1 to 276 matches the Rfam family "Bacterial small subunit ribosomal RNA", at positions 132 to 400 of the family's 1533-position model. The record is from RNAcentral.
UUGAGUUCGGGAUACCCCCUCGAAAGGGGGGCUAAUACCGGAUACGUUCCUUGGAUCGACAGGUCUGGGGAGGAAAGGUGGCGCAAGCUGCCGCUCUUGGAGGGGCUCGCGGCCUAUCAGCUAGUUGGCGGGGUAACGGCCCACCAAGGCUAUGACGGGUAGCUGGUCUGAGAGGACGACCAGCCACACGGGGACUGACACCCCGCCCCGACUCCUACGGGACGCAGCAGUGGGGAAUUUUCCGGAAUGGGCGGAAGCCUGACGGAGUGACGCCGCGUGUGGGACGAAGGACUGCGGGUCGUCGGACCGAGGGGCGCGGGACGGAAGGGCUGGGCGCGCCGCGCCCUGGG